UACGUAGGGGGCAAGCGUUGUCCGGAUUUAUUGGGCGUAAAGAGCGUGUAGGCGGUCUGGUAGGUCCGUUGUGAAAACUCGAGGCUCAACCUCGAGACGCCGAUGGAAACCCUCAGACUAGAGUCCGGAAGAGGAGAGUGGAAUUCCUGGUGUAGCGGUGAAAUGCGCAGAUAUCAGGAAGAACACCAAUGGCGAAGGCAGCUCUCUGGGACGGUACUGACGCUGAGACGCGAAAGCGUGGGGAGCGAACAGG
Molecule: ribosomal RNA, 253 nt
Filed under: uncultured bacterium
Lineage: Bacteria
Description: partial 16S ribosomal RNA
Rfam family: Bacterial small subunit ribosomal RNA
Source: RNAcentral